RNAcentral lists this ribosomal RNA (490 nucleotides) under uncultured bacterium. Its description in RNAcentral is "partial 16S ribosomal RNA". It matches the Rfam family "Bacterial small subunit ribosomal RNA", at positions 30 to 507 of the family's 1533-position model. The record is from RNAcentral.
AUUGAACGCUGGCGGCAGGCCUAACACAUGCAAGUCGAACGGUAACAGGAAGCAGCUUGCUGCUUUGCUGACGAGUGGCGGACGGGUGAGUAAUGUCUGGGAAACUGCCCGAUGGAGGGGGAUAACUACUGGAAACGGUAGCUAAUACCGCAUAACGUCGCAAGACCAAAGAGGGGGACCUUAGGGCCUCUUGCCAUCGGAUGUGCCCAGAUGGGAUUAGCUAGUAGGUGGGGUAACGGCUCACCUAGGCGACGAUCCCUAGCUGGCCUGAGAGGAUGACCAGCCACACUGGAACUGAGACACGGUCCAGACUCCUACGGGAGGCAGCAGUGGGGAAUAUUGCACAAUGGGCGCAAGCCUGAUGCAGCCAUGCCGCGUGUAUGAAGAAGGCCUUCGGGUUGUAAAGUACUUUCAGCGGGGAGGAAGGGAGUAAAGUUAAUACCUUUGCUCAUUGACGUUACCCGCAGAAGAAGCACCGGCUAACUCCGUG